Molecule: transfer RNA, 74 nt
Filed under: Gemmatimonadota bacterium
Lineage: Bacteria; Pseudomonadati; Gemmatimonadota
Description: Gemmatimonadetes bacterium tRNA-Arg
Rfam family: tRNA
About the family: Transfer RNA (tRNA) molecules are approximately 80 nucleotides in length. Their secondary structure includes four short double-helical elements and three loops (D, anti-codon, and T loops).
Source: RNAcentral
GCCUCCGUAGCUCAGGUGGAUAGAGCGUCUGCCUCCUAAGCAGAAGGCCACAGGUUCGAGUCCUGUCGGGGGCA